ACGCUGGCGGCGCGCCUAACACAUGCAAGUCGAACGGAGCUUAGAGAGCUUGCUUUUUAAGCUUAGUGGCGAACGGGUGAGUAACGCGUGAGUAACCUGCCCUGGAGUGGGGGACAACAGUUGGAAACGACUGCUAAUACCGCAUAAGCCCACGGUACCGCAUGGCACUGAGGGAAAAGGAUUUAUUCGCUUUAGGAUGGACUCGCGUCCAAUUAGCUAGUUGGUGAGGUAACGGCCCACCAAGGCGACGAUUGGUAGCCGGACUGAGAGGUUGAACGGCCACAUUGGGACUGAGACACGGCCCAGACUCCUACGGGAGGCAGCAGUGGGGGAUAUUGCACAAUGGGGGAAACCCUGAUGCAGCGACGCCGCGUGGAGGAAGAAGGUUUUCGGAUUGUAAACUCCUGUCGUUAGGGACGAUAAUGACGGUACCUAACAAGAAAGCACCGGCUAACUACGUG
Molecule: ribosomal RNA, 461 nt
Filed under: uncultured bacterium
Lineage: Bacteria
Description: bacterial SSU rRNA
Rfam family: Bacterial small subunit ribosomal RNA
Source: RNAcentral